Molecule: ribosomal RNA, 257 nt
Filed under: uncultured Gardnerella sp.
Lineage: Bacteria; Bacillati; Actinomycetota; Actinomycetes; Bifidobacteriales; Bifidobacteriaceae
Description: partial 16S ribosomal RNA
Rfam family: Bacterial small subunit ribosomal RNA
Source: RNAcentral
CGGAACGGGUGAGUAAUGCGUGACCAACCUCGCCCCAUGCUCCAGAAUAGCUCUUGGAAACGGGUGGUAAUGCUGGAUGCUCCAACUUGACGCAUGUCUUGUUGGGAAGUGUUUAGUGGCAUGGGAUGGGGUCGCGUCCUAUCAGCUUGUAGGCGGGGUAAUGGCCCACCUAGGCUUCGACGGGUAGCCGGCCUGAGAGGGCGGACGGCCACAUUGGGACUGAGAUACGGCCCAGACUCCUACGGGAGGCAGCAGGU